AUCUCAUUACUUCAAGUGAAAAUAUUUCAAGAACUAAGCAAGAUAUGAAAAAUGGGUAAAAGAAGUUAAAUAUAGUUCCAAAAGUUCUUUCAAAUAAGAAAAUGAAAAAUUAUAUUGCCAUUUCCCGUUAAGUCUUAAGGGUCAUUAUUUAUGGCAGGGGUUAAUGGCACUGAAGAGAAAUGGUUUUCGUGGUAAAUAUUUUCCUGACUCAACCAUUAAAAAGUCAAAAAAAUUUUACCCAACUUCAAAUAUCAAUUAAAAAAUAAAUACUCAUUCAGUUGUCACACAUGUCCUUUACCACUUCUGUGAGACGAAUUUUCUGCAG
Molecule: non-coding RNA, 325 nt
Organism: Paramuricea clavata
Lineage: Eukaryota; Metazoa; Cnidaria; Anthozoa; Malacalcyonacea; Plexauridae
Source: the annotation of a GenBank genome assembly